Molecule: ribosomal RNA, 247 nt
Filed under: uncultured bacterium
Lineage: Bacteria
Description: partial 16S ribosomal RNA
Rfam family: Bacterial small subunit ribosomal RNA
Source: RNAcentral
AGAGUUUGAUCAUGGCUCAGGAUGAACGCUAGCGACAGGCCUAACACAUGUAAGUCGAGGGGCAGCGGAGAGGUAGCAAUACCUUUGCCGGCGACCGGCGCACGGGUGAGUAACACGUAUUCAAUCCACCUGUAACAGGGGGAUAACCCGGAGAAAUCCGGACUAAUACCCCAUAAUAUGGGCGCUCCGCAUGGAGAGCCCAUUAAAGAGAGCAAUUUUGGUUACAGACGAGCAUGCGCUCCAUUAG